AGAGUUUGAUCAUGGCUCAGGAUGAACGCUAGCGGCAGGCCUAAUACAUGCAAGACGAACGGUAAGUUUGAGUAGCAAUACUAGCCAAGAGUGUCGUACGGGUGCGUAACACGUAUGCAACUACCCUAUACAGGAGGAUAGCCUAGGGAAACCUGAUUAACCCUUCAUAGUAUUAUUGGAUGGCAUCAUUUGAUAGUUAAAACUGAGGUGGUAUAGGAUGGGCAUGCGUCUGAUUAGUUAGUUGGCGGGGUAAUGGCCCACCAAGACGAUGAUCAGUAGGGGUUCUGAGAGGAAGAUCCCCCCACACUGGCACUGAGAUACGGGCCAGACUCCUACGGGAGGCAGCAGUAGGGAAUAUUGGUCAAUGGAUGCAAGUCUGAACCAGCCAUGCCGCGUGCAGGAAGAAGGCCUUCUGGGUUGUAAACUGCUUUUGCCAGGGGAUAAAAUUUCCAUGCGUGGAAAACUGAAGGUACCUGGUGAAUAAGCCACGGCUAACUACGUG
RNAcentral lists this ribosomal RNA (502 nucleotides) under uncultured bacterium. RNAcentral describes it as "bacterial SSU rRNA". It matches the Rfam family "Bacterial small subunit ribosomal RNA", at positions 8 to 507 of the family's 1533-position model. The record is from RNAcentral.